Molecule: ribosomal RNA, 460 nt
Filed under: uncultured bacterium
Lineage: Bacteria
Description: partial 16S ribosomal RNA
Rfam family: Bacterial small subunit ribosomal RNA
Source: RNAcentral
CCUACGGGAGGCAGCAGUGAGGAAUAUUGGUCAAUGGGCGGAAGCCUGAACCAGCCAAGUCGCGUGAGGGAAUAAGGCCCUACGGGUCGUAAACCUCUUUUGCCGGGGAGAAAGGGCGGGGACGUGUCCCGGCCCGGAGAGUACCCGGAGAAAAAGCAUCGGCUAACUCCGUGCCAGCAGCCGCGGUAAUACGGAGGUUGCGAGCGUGAUCCGGAUUUAUGGGGUUUAAAGGGUGCGUAGGCGGGCUGUUAAGUCAGCGGUAAAAAUUCGGGGCUCAACCCCGUCCGGCCGUUGAAACUGGGGGCCUUGAGUGGGCGAGAGGAAGGCGGAAUGCGUGGUGUAGCGGUGAAAUGCAUAGAUAUCACGAAGAACUCCGAUUGCGAAGGCAGUUCACUGGACUGCAACUGACACUGAGGCUCGAAAGUGUGGGUAUCAAACAGGAUUAGAUACCCCUGUAGUC